Molecule: non-coding RNA, 948 nt
Filed under: Macaca leucogenys
Lineage: Eukaryota; Metazoa; Chordata; Mammalia; Primates; Cercopithecidae
Description: 12S ribosomal RNA
Rfam family: Bacterial small subunit ribosomal RNA
Source: RNAcentral
AAUAGGCUUGGUCCUGGCCUUUCUAUUAGCUCUUAGCAAGAUUACACAUGCAAGUAUCCCCACCCCGGUGAAGACGCCCUAUAAAUCAUCAUGACCAAAAGGAGCAAGUAUCAAGCACGCACACGCAGCUCAAAACGCUUUGCCUGGCCACACCCCCACGGGAGACAGCAGUGACAAAUAUUUAGCAAUGAACGAAAGUUCAACUAAGCUAUGCUAUAUUUAGGGUUGGUCAAUUUCGUGCCAGCCACCGCGGUCACACGAUUAACCCCAGCCAAUAGAGUUCGGCGUAAAGGGGGUUAAGAUCUGACAUAUAUAGCUAACUCAACCUAAACUGUAAAACCCUAGCUGAUGUAAAAUAAACUACGAAAGUGGCUUUAAAGCUUCUGAACACACGAUAGCCAAGACCCAAACUGGGAUUAGACACCCUACUAUGCUUGGCCCUAAACCUCAGUAGUUAGAUAACAAAACUACUCGCCAGAAUACUACAAGCAACAGCUUAAAACUCAAAGGACUUGACGGUGCUUUACAUCCCCCUAGAGGAGCCUGUUCCGUAAUCGAUAAACCCCGAUCCACCCCACCCUCUCUUGCUCAGCCUAUAUACCGCCAUCUUCAGCAAACCCUGAUAAAGGUCACAAAGUGAGCGCAAACGCCACUACCGCGAAGACGUUAGGUCAAGGUGUAGCCCAUGAGACGGUAAAAAAUGGGCUACAUUUUCUAUCUCAGAAAAUUCUACGAAAACCCUUAUGAAAUCUAGGGGUCCAAGGAGGAUUUAGCAGUAAAUUAAGAAUAGAGUGCUUAAUUGAACCAGGCCAUAAAGUGCGCACACACCGCCCGUCACUCCUCUCAAAUAUAUUUAAGGAAUAUCCUAACUAAACGCCCAAAUAUUUAUAUAGAGAGGAUAAGUCGUAACAUGGUAAGCGUACUGGAAGGUGCGCUUGGAUAAAUCAA